This 124-nucleotide microRNA precursor is filed under the name Hordeum vulgare. RNAcentral's name for it is "microRNA MIR1122". It matches the Rfam family "MIR1120/MIR1122 microRNA precursor family". Lineage: Eukaryota; Viridiplantae; Streptophyta; Magnoliopsida; Poales; Poaceae. The record is from RNAcentral.
CCAAUACUCCCUCCGUUUGAAAAUACUUGUCCUAGAGAUGAAUGUAUCUAGGCUUAUUUUAGUUAUAGAUACAUUCAUUAUAUUCAUUUUUAGGACAAAUAUUUCCGAACGAAGGGAGUAUAUC